Long non-coding RNA from Bos taurus (domestic cattle), 516 nucleotides. The record is from Ensembl. Lineage: Eukaryota; Metazoa; Chordata; Mammalia; Artiodactyla; Bovidae.
GGAAGUUCUCGUUUCAUAUACUGUUGAAGCCUGGCUUGGAAAAGUUUGAGCAUUACUUUGAUAGCAUGUGAAAUGAGUGCAGUUGUGCAAUGCCAAAGAAUGCUCAAACUACCGCACAAUUGCACUCAUCUCACAUGCUAGUGAAGUAGUGCUCAAAAUUCUCCAAGCCAGGCUUCAGCAAUACAUGAACUGUACACUUCCAGAUGUUCAAUCUGGUUUUAGAAAAGGCAAAGGAUCCAGAGAUCAAAUUGCCAACAUCUGCUGGAUCAUCGAAAAAGCAAGAGAGUUCCAGAAAAACAUCUAUUUCUGCUUUCUUGACUAUGCCAAAGCCUUUGACUGUGUGGAUCACAAUAAACUGUAGAAAAUUCUUCAAGAGAUGGGAAUACCAGACCACCUGACCUGCCUCUUGAGAAACCUAUAUGCAGGUCAGGAAGCAACAGUUAGAACUGGACAUGGAACAACAGACUGGUUCCAAAUAGGAAAAGGAGUACGUCAAGGCUGUAUAUUGUCACCCUG